Long non-coding RNA from Silurus meridionalis, 695 nucleotides. RefSeq lists it as uncharacterized. Lineage: Eukaryota; Metazoa; Chordata; Actinopteri; Siluriformes; Siluridae. The transcript is spliced from 3 exons. The record is from RefSeq and is a predicted model, not a curated record.
UAAAUUGUUAGCAAACCCAACAUUAGCUGGCUAACUCUGUAUUUCGCUAGCAAACCCAACAUUAGCUGGCUAACUCUGUAAAUCUCUAGCAUGCCCAGCAUUAGAUGACUAACUCUGUAAAUUGUUAGCAAACCCAACAUUAGCUGGCUAAUUCUGUAUUCCGCUAGCAAACUCAACAGUAGCUGGGGGCGGAGCUUAAUUACAUUUUCAGCCUGAUGAUCUACGCUAGCAAACUGAACAUCAUCUACUUUCUGCUGAAAGUUGGUAUGGAGGCUUUCAAUUGUGGAAUUGCACUCCUCAACCUCCUCAACCUUCUCAACCUCCUCAACCACAGUGAACUCCUUUGGGAUGAACUGGAUCUGAAGCCUCGUCACCUUCUCCGACAUCAGCGUCUGAUCUCAAUUAUUAGCUAAAUGAUCACUAUUUCCUACAGAGACGAGUGGAAAGACUUCACAGGUGAAAAGAGUGGACCUUAUUAUAACAAGGAAAGAGCAUGAAGGUCCUCAAACUCGUAGGAAUGUGGUGCUCAUGAACUUCUGUGAAAUUUCUUCUGACCAUAUAAGUGCAUUAAUCAGAAUCUCAUUGGUGCACAAACAGGAAGUGAUGAAAGAAUUAAAAAAAGGUGGUGUUUAUGGGGUGUUUAAAUAGUCUGAGUGGAAUACAGGAAGCAGGUGUGUUGGACGUCAGGUGAGAGU